This 484-nucleotide ribosomal RNA is filed under the name uncultured bacterium. RNAcentral's name for it is "partial 16S ribosomal RNA". It matches the Rfam family "Bacterial small subunit ribosomal RNA", at positions 29 to 507 of the family's 1533-position model. The record is from RNAcentral.
AUUGAACGCUGGCGGCAUGCUUUACACAUGCAAGUCGAACGGCAGCGCGGGCUUCGGCCUGGCGGCGAGUGGCGAACGGGUGAGUAAUACAUCGGAACGUGCCCAGUAGUGGGGGAUAGCUUGGCGACAGCCGGAUUAAUACCGCAUACGACCUGAGGGUGAAAGCGGGGGUUCUUCGGACCCCGCCCUAUUGGAGCGGCCGAUGGCAGAUUAGCUAGUUGGUGGGGUAAAGGCCUACCAAGGCGACGUUCUGUAGCUGGUCUGAGAGGGCGACCAGCCACACGGGGACUGAGACACGGCCCAGACUCCUACGGGAGGCAGCAGUGGGGAAUUUUGGACAAUGGGCGAAAGCCUGAUCCAGCAAUGCCGCGUGUGUGAUGAAGGCCUUCGGGUUGUAAAGCACUUUUAGCGGGAACGAAAAGGACUGUGCCAAUACCACGGUUCGAUGACGGUACCCGCAGAAUAAGCACCGGCUAACUACGUG